CCUACGGGAGGCAGCAGUGGGGAAUAUUGCACAAUGGGGGGAACCCUGAUGCAGCAACGCCGCGUGGGUGAAGAAGUACUCCGGUAUGUAAAGCCCUAUCGGCAGGGAAGAAGCAAGACGGUACCUGACUAAGAAGCCCCGGCUAACUACGUGCCAGCAGCCGCGGUAAUACGUAGGGGGCGAGCGUUAUCCGGAUUCACUGGGUGUAAAGGGAGCGUAGACGGCCAUGCAAGCCAGGGGUGAAAGCCCGGGGCCCAACCCCGGGACUGCCCUUGGAACUGCAUGGCUGGAGUGCGGGAGGGGCAGGCGGAAUUCCUGGUGUAGCGGUGAAAUGCGUAGAUAUCAGGAGGAACACCGGCGGCGAAGGCGGCCUGCUGGACCGCGACUGACGUUGAGGCUCGAAAGCGUGGGGAGCGAACAGGAUUAGAUACCCCUGUAGUC
Molecule: ribosomal RNA, 441 nt
Filed under: uncultured bacterium
Lineage: Bacteria
Description: partial 16S ribosomal RNA
Rfam family: Bacterial small subunit ribosomal RNA
Source: RNAcentral